Molecule: ribosomal RNA, 534 nt
Filed under: uncultured bacterium
Lineage: Bacteria
Description: bacterial SSU rRNA
Rfam family: Bacterial small subunit ribosomal RNA
Source: RNAcentral
CAAUAGAUACCCCGGGUAGUCCUAGCCGUAAACGAUGAACACUAGGCGUAGUCGGUAUCGACCCCGGCUGUGCCGUAGCUAACGCAUUAAGUGUUCCGCCUGGGGAGUACGGCCGCAAGGCUAAAACUCAAAGGAAUUGACGGGGGGCCCGCAUAAGCAGCGGAGCGUGUGGUUUAAUUCGUCGCAACGCGAAGAACCUUACCAGGGCUUGACAUGUGGCGGAAAACGGCGGAAACGUCGUCCUCCCGCAAGGGACCGUCAUGCAGGUGUUGCAUGGCUGUCGUCAGCUCGUGUCGUGAGAUGUUGGGUUAAGUCCCGCAACGAGCGCAACCCCCGUGGCAUGUUGUAUCUCUCAUGCCAGACUGCCGAGAGAAACUCGGAGGAAGGUGGGGAUGACGCCAAGUCAGCAUGGCCCUUACGUCCUGGGCUACACACACGCUACAAUGGCCGGUACAACGGGUUGCCAAACCGCGAGGUGGAGCUAAUCCCUUAAAGCCGGUCUCAGUUCGGAUUGCAGGCUGCAACUCGCCUGCA